RNAcentral lists this long non-coding RNA (269 nucleotides) under Elaeis guineensis (African oil palm). RNAcentral describes it as "long non-coding RNA (EGUI_LNC041538)". Lineage: Eukaryota; Viridiplantae; Streptophyta; Magnoliopsida; Arecales; Arecaceae. The record is from RNAcentral.
AUGGUUGGUAAGAAGAACUUAAGAAAUUGAUGAAUUUAAGAUGAUAAGCAUAAUUUGAAAUUAUGAUGAAUUGAAUUUUAUAUAUGAUUGAUAGUAUGAUUAUGAUUUCAUGAAAUUACAUAUUGAUUUUGUUAUUAUCAGUAAAUCGAUAUGUAUAGUAUUAUUUGUCAGGUUUAUUCAGUUAAAGGUAUACACUGCUUACUGGGCUGUUUAGCUCAUGAUGAGUUUUUAUGUUUUUCUUACAGAUCCAAAAAAUUAGCGUGAUGCGG